CUAUAGGCGUGUAUGCAGGAUUUAGUUGGUAUUAUGUGUGGGUCAAGCGCACACAGGAAAGAGCAUCAAGGUGAGUGGACUGAGUGGUGUGGACGUCUCACCUCUUGCACAGAAGCUUGUUGAAAGAGAGGAAUAAGAGGAUUAGUUCUCGGUAUGUCAAUGUGAAUCUGCAGGGAAGAGAACACACACACACACACACACAACAAAAAAAAGAGAGAGACACACAGGAGCAGAAGCAGGUUAGGACGGAUUCGAAACAGCCAUUACAGAUAGACAGGAAAGUGAAUCUGGUCAUGGAUGGUGACGCAUGCCUGGCUGCAAACUGAAGAACUGAAAACCUCUGGAGAUUUGAGACCGGGAAUGAACUCAUCCUCAGCUGUUUAACCCUCUGAAGUCAGAGUCAGUCGAGUUAUUGGAAAAUCCUCAAUCUGGGAACUGGUGUGUAUAGAAGCAUAUGUUGCAGGAUGCAGUGUAGCACAAGGGAUUUGGACCGCCGACUCUGGAGUGAUGUUUGAACAGGAAUGCUAUGUAGUAGGGAAUGAUGGAGAGAAGGUCAGAGAGGUGGUGUAACCGGUGGUGUUACCUGUCUGUAUGUGUCCUGGUGAUGCUCGUCGUUGCGGGAGUCGUAGUACUGCUCGAUGAAACCGAAGUACUCCUGCCUCUUUCUCUGCAGCGUGCUGGCUCUGCGCUCGGCAUUGGCAGGCAGGUAACCCUAAGAACAGCAACACACACACACACACACACACACACACGCACACACGCACACACGCACACACGCACACACGCACACACGCACACACGCACACACGCACACACACACAAACAGCCCAUUAUGGAAGGGUAGUUGAAACGUCUUCUCUUAUCAAUCCACUAUCAAACCACAUUAGCCCUCUGAAAUUUCUGCUGCCUGUGCAUUGCACCCAUGUGCAAGCGAGGUCGUCACCCUCGUUCACUCCAACUCUGCACUUUCCAGCACACACUGGUUUACUGGCUGUGCUGCUCAAAGACAUCGCCUUGGUGCUGGAUUCAGAUCCAGGUCGACAGGGAUUUUAUAGACUUAAUUGAAAGCACCAGUAAGCUGCACUGGACUAUUACAGCUGCACAGUCCAUAUAACAGACAUUAAAAAAACUAGAUUUCACUUUCCAAGUGUUAACAUACUGUUAACUAAAAAGUGGGCGGCUUUUAGCAGGACCGACGCACACGAACCGCCUCUGCUUCAUUAAGACUGACAGCCAUAUUGGCUAUGUGUUCACUGAGACAGACGUAACAGUCACACCACCUUCCUGAGAACUGACAGACAAGCAGUCAAGCAGGCCACACCGACACUGACCAACACAGAGGCCAUGUCUCUCCCACUGGAACUAACAGACACAAUGGCAAUGUGUACUUCACCUGAACUGACAGGUAAAAAGUCUGUUCUUCCUUUAAUAUGACUUACAGCUCAUUCUUGGGGACUGAGCAGGACAGAGAAAACACCUCCUUCCUGGGUGGAAACUGGAAAAGAGACCACAGCACCUUCUUGAGGAAUGACCAGGACAGAGACAACACAACACCUCCUAACUGGGGGUUGACCAGCACAGAGACCACACCUCUUCCCAGGGACUGCCAGGGUCAGAGACCCAGUACAGAGACCACUCAUCAUUUACCCAACACAGAGGUCACAGCUUCUUCCUGUGGACCAACCAGGAGAGACCAGGGGACACCCAUUUACUCAAUAUCUAUCUAGUGCACACUCACCUGAGAUAAAGGAAAUGCUGUGGAAAUAUUGAGACUGCCAAUUAGUCUUUGCACCAGAAAAAAAUACGGCUAUAGUUCAGUCAUUUCGGUAAGUAAGACAUGAAUAACUGAAUUCUUAGUGUUCCUAUGUUCAGUUCGCUGAUUAGCCAGUCACUAUCAGUCAACAGUAAAGAGGAAGAAAUCGGUGCCUUUCUUAUUCCACAGCGAGAGAGAGAAAGCGUGCAGCAGAUGUCUGUGCCCGAAAAAGAAAGUCUCUUGAUAAAGUAAUUGAUUGCAUGGAAAUCUAGAGCCGUGGAAAUCCAUUUAUCACAGGAGACACUAUCCCACACGGCCAUUUUUUACCCCCCACCACCCAGACAAGUUCUGCACAAAGAUGUAUGCGUGCCAAGCGGCAGUGUUCAUGCCAGGGCUUUGGGUCAUUAGCAUAUGUACAUGUAAUUAAGCCUAAUUGAUAAUGCAUAAUGUCGAGGAUUCAGAGAUUUCACCGGGCUCACAUAGGGAGGAAGAAUGAGCUGCUGAUCACCAGGAAGAUUAAAAGCUCUAAGUCAGAAGGGAGACUUUUAAGGUAAAUGGAGAGAAUAGAGACGGAUAUUAAUUGGCAUGUUUUAAAGAGAGAGAGUACAGGGAGCUAGAAUAAGAAAGAAUACUGCCAGGAAGGGACAAUCAUCUUGCGACCCUGAUUUAGAGCACUUCACUCUUAAAUAAAAAAAUAAGCAUUAAGGGAACUGUUAGAAGCUUCAGAAAGAAGAUCUUUAAUGUAUUGCACAGCUACAAUGAAAUAACUUUAUAUCUGUAAUCUGAAUUGAUUCGAUACAUAAACUGGUAAUAACAAGCAGUUCCACACGUUUUUAUACUCUUAUAUCUGCAUGAACGUUGCACAUGCUUUUUAUCUGUUUGCUAUUAAUUUGAAUUGGUUUCAAAUGACAUAAUUAAAGCGAUUAACAAACGAAAAAAAAAAAUGCUUAACGGCUGAAAAUGUACUCUUUCUUUCGUCGGGUUAAAGCGUGAAAAUGAAAAAAGUUGAAUAAACCUUUCCAUAGAUAAUUCCAUAAAUAACCAGUUUUAAAAAUUUUGUAUAUUCAGUCUUAGUUCUCUCUUCGGUCGUUGGCUCAGUAUUCAAAGAAGCGUUAUAUUUCCACGCUUCUGUCCUAUGGCUCAUAUCUACAAUAAAUAAAUAAAUAAACAAACAAACAAACAAACAAAAACGGACGAAACACUAUACACUAUGAAAGCACGCUGUGUGUCUUCUUUCUAUCCAUCUCCUUUGCUGUGGCUGACUAAUUAGAAAGCACACAGCCGACCAUAACCCGACCUCUCGUUUGUUCAAUCAGUGAUAUUGUGUAAAUUACAGUAAUAGCAUGUUUAGUCCUCUUGAG
Long non-coding RNA from Tachysurus fulvidraco (yellow catfish), 3114 nucleotides. RefSeq lists it as uncharacterized. The record is from RefSeq and is a predicted model, not a curated record. Lineage: Eukaryota; Metazoa; Chordata; Actinopteri; Siluriformes; Bagridae. The transcript is spliced from 2 exons.